GACGAACGCUGGCGGCGUGCUUAACACAUGCAAGUCGAACGGAAAGGCCCUGCUUUUGUGGGGUGCUCGAGUGGCGAGCGGGUGAGUAACACGUGAGUAACCUGCCCUUGACUUCGGGAUAACUUCAGGAAACUGGGGCUAAUACCGGAUAGGAGCUCCUGCUGCAUGGUGGGGGUUGGAAAGUUUCGGCGGUUGGGGAUGGACUCGCGGCUUAUCAGCUUGUUGGUGGGGUAGUGGCUUACCAAGGCUUUGACGGGUAGCCGGCCUGAGAGGGUGACCGGCCACAUUGGGACUGAGAUACGGCCCAGACUCCUACGGGAGGCAGCAGUGGGGAAUAUUGCACAAUGGGCGGAAGCCUGAUGCAGCAACGCCGCGUGCGGGAUGACGGCCUUCGGGUUGUAACCCGCUUUCGCCUGUGACGAAGCGUGAGUGACGGUAAUGGGUAAAGAAGCACCGGCUAACUACGUG
RNAcentral lists this ribosomal RNA (468 nucleotides) under uncultured bacterium. Its description in RNAcentral is "partial 16S ribosomal RNA". It matches the Rfam family "Bacterial small subunit ribosomal RNA", at positions 28 to 507 of the family's 1533-position model. The record is from RNAcentral.